UGUGACGGAAGGAGGACUCGUUUCUAGAGGUGGAUGGACCCACUGCUGCGGAUCCUGACCAGCACGAAGCCGCAACACCGCCACAACCAAUCAGAGGAUACGUUACUGGAUGGUGGAGCACAACGGGGAUGGCCCACCAUGCAGCCCAGCGCUCUUCAGACCAGGCUGAGGGACUGACACCAAUCAGUACCUGAGCCAGGAGGGCCCAGAGUUUUUCC
Long non-coding RNA from Oncorhynchus masou masou (cherry salmon), 218 nucleotides. RefSeq lists it as uncharacterized. The transcript has 3 exons. The record is from RefSeq and is a predicted model, not a curated record. Lineage: Eukaryota; Metazoa; Chordata; Actinopteri; Salmoniformes; Salmonidae.